This 452-nucleotide ribosomal RNA is filed under the name uncultured bacterium. RNAcentral describes it as "bacterial SSU rRNA". It matches the Rfam family "Bacterial small subunit ribosomal RNA", at positions 340 to 786 of the family's 1533-position model. The record is from RNAcentral.
UACGGAAGGCAGCAGUGGGGAAUAUUGCACAAUGGGCGCAAGCCUGAUGCAGCCAUGCCGCGUGUAUGAAGAAGGCCUUCGGGUUGUAAAGUACUUUCAGUCGUGAGGAAGGUGUUAAGGUUAAUAACCUUAGCAAUUGACGUUAGCGACAGAAGAAGCACCGGCUAACUCCGUGCCAGCAGCCGCGGUAAUACGGAGGGUGCGAGCGUUAAUCGGAAUUACUGGGCGUAAAGGGCACGCAGGCGGUUAAUUAAGUUGGAUGUGAAAUCCCCGGGCUUAACCUGGGAAUGGCAUUCAAGACUGGUUAGCUAGAGUCUUGUAGAGGGGGUAGAAUUCCAUGUGUAGCGGUGAAAUGCGUAGAGAUGUGGAGGAAUACCGGUGGCGAAGACGGCCCCUGGACAAAGACUGACGCUCAUGUGCGAAAGCGUGGGGAGCAAACAGGAUUAGAUACC